AAAUGAAUAAAUCAAUCCCGCCGCUGGCCACCAUAAUGUCACGGAGCUGUUCUAAGGCACUGGCUUUUAAGACUGUGUUCAGAUAUAUACAAAUUUAUUAUCAACAAUUCAAAUAUAUACAGUUCAAUUAAUUUACAUUGUUAAUCCAGAGACACGUCCAUUCUCUUUCACUAACUCUCUCCAAUUCUCCCGAAACUUUACAUUCAAUCACUUUUAUCAUCGCAAAGGCCCUUGCUACUUUCAUGACUUUCUCACACAUAAAAUCGUCA
RNAcentral lists this long non-coding RNA (269 nucleotides) under Mytilus galloprovincialis (Mediterranean mussel). Lineage: Eukaryota; Metazoa; Mollusca; Bivalvia; Mytilida; Mytilidae. The record is from RNAcentral.